Molecule: long non-coding RNA, 7775 nt
Organism: Canis lupus familiaris (dog)
Lineage: Eukaryota; Metazoa; Chordata; Mammalia; Carnivora; Canidae
Exons: 8
Source: RefSeq, a predicted model, not a curated record
GAUGUGAUGACUGCAAGGGGGUUGAGCGAAAUGCCUGGCAGGUGCCCACUUCAUGGCUCUACUUACUUCUUGCCAUUCCUCUGCCCUCCAAGCAUAGAGAGGACACGGUGGGGCUUGGCAGACGCGUUCCGACUCCGGUCUGGUGUACGGGUUGCACUCGGACUCUCUGGCUAUUUUGUGUGCUCCCAUCUGACAGCCCACGUUUCUCCGCCGUGUGCCUUGGCCGCAGGACACAGAGCACUGAGAAGAAAGACUCUAGGAUAAACUCUCAUUUUCCCAGUCUGUUGGGAAGGAGGUGAAAAAGCCACAUUAGAAACUGAAAGGUAAGCUAGCAGACAUCAAGAAGCCAGCAAACAACCUCAGCGUGUCUGCCUGGAUAAGAAGGGCUGAGGACCUAGAAAGAAUGAGACUCCUGGGUUGCCAAGGCAGCUGCGAACCUGGACAUCCAUAUGAAGAUGAAAGAGUACCUGGAAUUGGAUUGGCUGCCAAUAGGUUAGAAAUAAUGAAGAACUGAAAGGCCAAGAGGAAGGACAUAUACUACAAGCCAUUACCAAAUUAAGUCAAGAUUCUGCUGAUAGAAGAAUUUUUGACAAUUAGGUAGCUAACCAUCAUUCUGAGACUGGUGAGCAGAUUUCAUUUUUGAGAGAGGACAUUGUACUAAUCCUUAUUUGCCUUUCCAUUGUGAGUCCAUAAAAUAUGAAAGGAGCAUUUAAAUCCCUUCACUUCAAAAAUGUUUGGUUGCAUCUUUUACUAACAACAACUCUUCCUGAUUUUAUUCUCGUUUUGGUUUUGUUUAACAAAACAUAAAGUCAAACCUCACCUGAAAACUAUGCUGUCAGCAAGGAUGCAAGGCUUGCGUCCAAGGUUCAGGACUGCCUUUGCCAAUUAGGGUGAUGGAUGAAGUGAGUAUGCAGGGGCUUCACACCAUCAGGACAGGCAAAACCAGUCUGCAUACACUCUUCCACCGAAGCCAGAACGAAAGCACAAGGAUAUAGACUGAGGGAUCAGAGCACCAAACACUGCUCAUGCUCAGUGUGGGGCCUGGAAACCACGCGGGCUUGCCACAUAGGAAAAAGACAGUAGCUGCCACUCACACGUGCUUCUGUGCUGCCUUCCACGCCGGAGGCAGCCAGCAAAUAAUUAUGGAAAUGAAUGAACACAUGAAAUCUGUAUCCAUCCCAGAAGCAUACUAUAAACCAAAUGUCACAAAGAAAGAACCACCCGGCAUCUGACCCACAGUGUGAAUGCUGAACUGAUUUGGCACAAAUUAUUUAGAUUCCAAAAGGCCACCCCAGGACCUCUCUUCCAGUUGGAACAGAACUAUUGGAAAUCACACCAGCUACCUUCUAUUGAACUCUUUCUGUGAAUAGAAAACCAAGCUGCAGGACACUGGCUUCUGUCAUUUAAUCCCAAAGGCAACCUGGUGACUUAGAUACUAUUAGGAUUCCUUUCUCCAGAUAAGGAGAACCAAAGAGGUGACAUUACUUGGCCAGGGUCACAAAGCCAGGAAGCAGCAGAGCUAGUCUUUAAAAAUUGUACAUCCUGGGCUCCAGAACCACCACUUUCUUCCUUCAACUACGUUGAAGAAAGGGCUUGGUUAAGAAAACAAGCUGCUCAUCUCGGCUUACCCAAGGCAACAAGAGAAAGCAAGGACCUCAAAGAAAUGUCUCUUGAGACUAUUCUAGAAGCCUCUGAUUCCUCAGUCUCUUAGGAAGACAGUACCUAUACAAUGUUAAUAUUUCUGGCUUUAUUACUUUCUUCACAACAUCUUUAGGACCCUGGGAAGAAAGACACUUAAGAGUGCAAACAUACAAUCACCUAAAUAAAGGGCUUGAUUUCCCUUUGCCUGAAGCCACACCCUGAUUUUCUCCUGGCCAUUUUUCAGCAUUUAUUCACCCUCUGGGGUCUGCCUGAUGCCAAAUGGCAAAUGACUGCUUCUGUUCACUGGUGAAUGGCUCUUUGCAUGGUCACGAAUGGAAGGCUGCGGGUUGGGAAUUUGGGCCUGCCAAUUCACUGAAGACUAAUCUCUCAAAUGUCUGAGCUCUAAGGCAUCUCAAAGAUUGUUCAGUCCAUCUGUUUGGCUUACAAAUCCAACACUAGAGGAAAGGAGACAUGGCGCACUCACAGUCACACAGCAAGGAAGGAAUAAAUGCAGGCUUAGGACUCUAAGUUCCUAUACCCAGCACAGAACACUAUCCCUCCAGGGAUUUGUGGCCAACUACUGGUGUUCUGCAUGUUGAUCAGGAACCACAGCUAAUGUGUCAUCCUGAUUUCUCCUGAGUCGCUUAUGCUCACAAAGAGCUAGCAUGAUAAACAGGGACUAGCAAGUCAGGCACCGAUCCUACCCCCUCUGACAUUGAUGGAUGGCAAGCACCAGUAUGAACAGGAGUGAGUGUAACAACCUCCCGUUCCAGAAUGCCACUUAAGAAUACCAAGGGAGAGAUGUGCAUGCGCGCCAGCACAGGCAACAAAGCUUACUGUUUUGGCUUCGUUGUGCUCUAAAAUGUAGCAUUUCAAGGCACAGGUUCUGGAGUCAGGCCAUCCUAGGCUGACACGCCAUCUGCCAUUCUACUUUGGUGCUAUUUGGGUCAAAUUACUUAACCUCUCUCAGCUCAGAUCUGUUCUCUGUAAAAUGGGGACCACAGCAGAGUCUACACUCAACACAGUUAUGUCACAAUGAAGGGGGACAAGGCAUCCAGACAGAGCUGUUGGUGUUGUGGCCAAGCACUGUAAACCUCAGUACGCAUUCGCUAUCACCACUGCUACUAUUUCUAUUCAGCAGAGCCUUUUAGAACAUCUCCCAGUGCGUGGAUAAAAAGGAAAGAGGUGAAGAUGGUACAAGGAUCCACACUCUGUGCUUGCCACAGAAUUGUUCAUGAAGGCAGUCUGGAAGACAGGGGGCUAGUGGGUGAGGUAUUUGUGCCAGGAUCCUUAUUCUCAGCUGUUGUGAAGCAAUGAAGAUGUCUACUACAAACAUGCCCUUCUGCACAGCACUUCCUCCUUGACAUCAUGUCCCUGACCUGCCACUGCUAAGAGGUUCCCGGAUAUUUCACAUCUGAUUAAGAGACAGUCAAUGAGAAGGAAAUCAUGAUUUCACCAAAAACCCCCCACAAACUGCAAUGCAAUAGAGCUCCCAGAUCAUAACCAAGUCUUAUCUUUCACCCACCACGUGGAUGGAGGAAUACAGUGGUUGGGACAAUAAGGAGUGAAGAACAGAAUGUAAGGCCAGAACCCAAAAUGGUUGACUGUUCUACUGAUGGGAACAGAAGAGACUCAGCGAUGCCCAAAGAAGAGCUUAGUUUUAGCUCAAGAAACAGUUUGGAAGAUAUCUCAAUGUGUUUGAUGGGUUUUAUUUCAACCAGAGAGCUUUUAGUGUGAAAUCACUUUUUAAUAAAUUUUAAUUUCAUAAUUCACUUGUAGGGGAGUAGAUUACAUUCUACAACAGACCUCAUCACCACAAACAUCUGCAAAUUCCCUAAUUGGCUUUUACAGAAUCUGAGCUAUUGUUCUGAUUAUCUAUAUAUCCAAAAAAAAAAAACCUCUUAGAUUUAUAUUACCCCAAUUUAUUUCAUUUCUCUUUGUAUAUUAAUACGUCAGAAAUAUCACCCAAUGCCUGUUUAAUAAAUAUGGAUGCCUUUUUCUCGAAAUCUUCAAAGAACCUAAAUUUUGCUCCCUACAUGGUUUAAUUUGAGGAGAAACAAUUUUCUCAUAUUCAUCCCUUUAGAGCUCUGAGCAAAAUUUGUUAAUGGCUCAGGAAUUUCAGAAUGUUUCAAAUAGUUACAAUUUGGGAGAACAGAAAAUCUUAAAUUUCCUCUUUCCACAAAGGUUACAUUUUACCACUUCACCAACUAAAGACCAAAAUGAGGGGAUUAUAUCUUGGUUAAAACCCGGGGUUGAAGGUCAGAAAGUCCCAGGUUCAAGUCCUAACUCAGCCCCUUCUCAACAGGGUGACCUAGACCCAAGUAGUUAACUUCUCUGAUGGUGCUAACUUCACCAGGUAGAGAGGAUUAAAUUAGACAAUAUGGGUGAAUUGCUUUGUAGAAUUCCUAGCAAAAAGUAAGUGCUCCAAAAUGUGCUCACUAUAAUUAAAAUAAAAAAUAAUAAUCAAAUAAUUAAAAUAGAAAAUCAAACCCUCUUUAUAAUCAUGGAAAGGAAUACAUUGUGCAAAAUUAAGCAAAGGAAAAAAAAAACCAGCUCUUUUGUGGAAACCUGAAGCUAUUCAUCCACUUGCUGAGAUCCUGAGAAUUAUUUUACUUAUCUCCCAUUUCAAUGUAUAGCCAACCGGAGAGUGAACAUAACAAAUUAUUAAGUGCUUCUUAAAAGGAGACCACCUGAAUGGUUUAGAGUUUAAUUCAGAUGUCACCCUAAAGGGAAAAACAACAACAACUACCUGGCCACUGGAAAAGAGAAUUGAUGACAUCAUCAAUCUGCAUUAAAAUGUUGUUGCGUACAUUUUAAUUUCAAGGGGGUGUCAGCAUGGGGCAUGAACAUGAAUGAAUCCACAAGGAUUUUCUUAACACUGGGGAGGCUAUGUUUUGCAAGCUAAAUGAAAAACAUAGUGAUGGAGGAGACAUUGCCUCAACUCUGAUUCUUCUGAAGUGUCUUUCAAACACAGCCCCUUAAAGCUAAUCUGCUCAACCUUUACCUACAGGGCUCGGUGAAUAUGAAAAGCUGCCAUCCUGAAACUUCCUUCAAAGAGGGACUGAUCUCUUGGAAUUCAAGCUUCUACAAGCAAAGCCCUCCAGAAUGACGUACUGUCAACGAAAGUCAACAGAACGCUCCAUUAUGACUGCCUAUGACUACUGGAUUAUGUGAAAUGUGGACACGUGAUUUCGGUUAGCCAGGAGUGUGAACUAACAUGCCCAUCCAUCUCACUUGUCUUUUUCCCCUCUUUUGGCACUGGGGUCUCCAAGAUGUUAAUCUUCAUGUUUUAUUUUAUAGAUUUUACAGUCAAGACAGACCAAUGCAACAAGCUCUAAAUAUGUGCUCUCCCUGUGGACUCAAGAGUAGAGAGAUACAGCCUUGGUUAAUUACACACAAAACAAUAAGCAUCUAAACCUUACACAGAAGAGUAGCUCACAACCCCAUUUGAUAAUAACAGUAAUACUAACAAUAAACAGUAGUAGUAGUAGUAAUGAUAAUGAUUACCACUUAUUAUAAUAGCAAUUAACUUUGAUCGAAGACUAUGUGCAAGGUAUCUGACCCGCACUAUGUCAGAGAGUAGUCAUAAAUUGGUGCCAUUAUUAUGCCCAUUUACAGACGAUGCUAUAGACAUUUGGCAAAGUUGUAAAAUUUGCCGAGGCCACAAAGCUUGUAAGAGUCAGGGCUGGGAGUGGAAUCUAGUUCUGUCUGUUCCAAACACUCUACUGCCCCUCGUUGGUCAUCAGGAUGCCACUUUUGAAAAGGUAACAGCUGAAGAAUUUUAUUAUUUGAUAUUAUUCAGCUAAUUAUUCUCUCCCAUCAUUAAAAUGCAUCACCUCCACCAAUAAAAAAUAAAUUAAAAAAAAAGAAAUGUAGGAAUAAAGAGAUGAUCAUCAAAAAAAAUGCAUCACCUCCAAUGGGAAUAACAGCACCUAUUUAUAUUGGUUUCAUCAAGGACUAGAGAUACUAGGAUUUGGUCUCAUCAAGGAUUUUAAAUAUGCCAUGGGAACAAGAGUGCAUCACAAACACCCCAAAACUACGAAAAAGAUGGCAAUGCUUUCUUGGACCAAUUUAACACAUGUUUCCAAUUACCUUAAAAGUAUCCAUUUUUUCAUCAGAGGUUAACCAACAAUUCAACCUAGCAUUUAUCUGCAUGCUUUGCUAAUUUUCCUCUCCCAUGUAUUUAAAAGGUGUCUCUACUUGAUCAUAAACGCACUCUUAAAAUAAUAGUCCAGAAUGAAGACAGGUCUCCUACUUAAUCUCAAUUGCAGAAGCUUCCACUAGAACUCAUUCUUUGUCUUUAAAAUAAGCUAUGAACAACAGCACAGUUUGGUCAGCAAAAUUGCUCUGCUUUUUUUCCCCCAAGGAUGUACAAAUGGAUGGCUGUCUCUCACCUCUCCCCAGUUGCCGUAAGCCCACUGAGGACAAGGGCCAGAUUCACAGGCUCUUUGCUCAUCGGGUUUUAUCCUCUCCACGCAGUCAUUGGCGGUGUAUCCGUUUUCAUCUUGACACACGACCACGCGCCGCUGGGACCCACCAGCACAAGUACUGGAACACUGAACACAUCACAAGUCAGUCAGCAGGUUAAUCCCUACCUCCAUCUGCACCUUAGGGACGUAAAAAAUAGCUGGUUGGAAAGUCAGAGACAAAUGUGACAGAAUGAGUUCUCAAGUUGUCUGGACGAUGGGCAAAGAGCAAGCCUGAGAAUUUCCCUUCUUUUUUUUUUUUUUUUGAGAAUUUCCCUUCUGUGGGGCCGUCUCAUGCACAUGCCCUUAUCAACACCUGGAUGGCAGCAACAGGGCUUCUCCUUUGCACAGGUUAGGCCCUCAGCAGGUGUUCAAAAGAUGCCCCAGGAGUGAUAAUGCCUUGUGACUUCCAAAGCAGUCCCAUUUAUUGUCUCCUUUUAACCCCUUCAUGUCCCUGAGAAGUACGGAGGUGUUAACAGACACCGCAGUCUAAAAAAAAAAAAAAAAAAAAGACACCACAGUCUACUGAGAAACUCUUCUUUUCAAAACUCAAGUGCUUAUUUAGAACCAACAUUGGACUUCUCUUUAAAUGCAGAGGUCAAAUUAUAUGCUUAAUGAUACACCACUAGUUAAAAUUGAGCUUCCAUAUUAAACUCAUUCAAUUACCCACAGCAUCAUAGACUGCCACUUAGACAUCAUUUCCUCACAGGGAGUAUUCCCUUCUCUCCCUCCACAAUAGCCUUGACUUCAGUGGCUGAUGGCAGCAUGAUAUGUUUUUUAAUAUAUUUUUUACUUCCCCAAGGACUUUAAUUGGAUUCCAUAUUGACAAGCCUCUCUUCAGGGGCACUUUCUGUGUACUGCUCUCUCUCAUGGCUGUCACAGAAUUAUGUUUGCAUUUCAGCUAAUUUCCCACCCAAGCUUCUCAUAGUUCUCUUAUUUAUCUACAUCUUGAGUGUUUUUUUCUUUCCAGAAUGCCCUUAUCUUUUGAAAACCAAUGUGUUUGCUAGUAUCCUUCACUCUGACCCUUAACAUGUAAAAUCAGUUUGCCUAUAAAGAAAACAACUAGUCUCAAAGCAAUGCAAUUCCCAUGAAUAAUUUAUUAAGUCUCUAACUGCACUGGCAACUUUUUUUUUUUUUUUUUACUGCUGGGUUCUGAUGACAGGUUUGUACUUUCUACAGAACUCUAGCUCAAACCAGGGUUAUUUCAAAACACCUGCAGACAAUGCUUCUUGCUGGUCAGCUUCUUCCAAAUAAAGCUGUGAAUGUAUUUUUGGGCUUACUGCAUGGGACCUAAGCUCAAAUUCCCUGCUUAUACUGGACAAAUUAUGCAUUACUUUAAAAUACAUUGGGUUUAAUUUUAAAAUGUUAAAACAGGAAAAUGGAUUUAUGACUUUUCUCUGAGAAAACAUUUAGGCAACUUCUGAUUUAUAAAAAUUCCAUCUCUAGUCUCUGAGGAUUCUGAUCUAAUGACUCUAAACUUGAACAUACUUAUUUUCUAUUUUUAAACUGCUUAGGACAUAAUAGAUAUUACAGAAUCAUUAUUUUAAUUAACUUUGGGGACCAGAAUUUAUAAUGUUAGGAAGGAACUUCCAUAUUGUAAGUACAUUUGUAAUAUAUAUUCUGGCUCUUGAGUUUUUCCCUUGAUAAUACAAUCUUGUAUCAUGCUUU